Molecule: non-coding RNA, 83 nt
Filed under: Streptomyces sp.
Lineage: Bacteria; Bacillati; Actinomycetota; Actinomycetes; Kitasatosporales; Streptomycetaceae
Source: RNAcentral
AGAGGAAGCCGGUGAGAAUCCGGCGCGGUCCCGCCACUGUCACCGGCCCGCCCCUUCCGGACGCGGCCGGGAGCCAGGAACUC